RNAcentral lists this ribosomal RNA (406 nucleotides) under uncultured bacterium. RNAcentral's name for it is "partial 16S ribosomal RNA". It matches the Rfam family "Bacterial small subunit ribosomal RNA", at positions 29 to 526 of the family's 1533-position model. The record is from RNAcentral.
AGUGAACGCUGGCGGCAGGCCUAACACAUGCAAGUCGAACGAGUGGCGGACGGGUGAGUAAUGUCUGGGAAACUGCCUGAUGGGGGGGGAUAACUACUGGAAACGGUAGCUAAUCCCGCAUACCAUCAGAUGUCCCUAGCGGGGAAUAGCGUGUUGGUGGGGUAACGGCUCACCAAGGCGACGAUGCCCAGCUGGUCUGAGAGGAUGACCAGCCACACUGGAACGGGGACACGGUGCAGAAUCCUACGGGAGGCAGCAGUGGGAAAUCUUGCACAGGGGGCGCAAGCCUGUUGUAGCCAUGCCGCGUGUAUCAGGCGGGCCAUCGGGUUGUAAAGUACUUUCAGCGGGGAGGCGUUACCCAACGAAGAAGCACCGGCUAACUCCGUGCCAGCAGCCGCGGUAAUAC